RNAcentral lists this small nuclear RNA (18 nucleotides) under Arabidopsis thaliana (thale cress). Its description in RNAcentral is "snRNA_11610". Lineage: Eukaryota; Viridiplantae; Streptophyta; Magnoliopsida; Brassicales; Brassicaceae. The record is from RNAcentral.
GGGUUAGUCGAUCCUAAG